This 307-nucleotide ribosomal RNA is filed under the name uncultured eukaryote. RNAcentral describes it as "partial 18S ribosomal RNA". It matches the Rfam family "Eukaryotic small subunit ribosomal RNA", at positions 1470 to 1796 of the family's 1831-position model. The record is from RNAcentral.
CCCUUAGACGUUCUGGGCCGCACGCGCGCUACACUGACGAAGGCAACGAGCUUUCCUUUACCGAAAGGUACGGGUAAUCUUUUGAAACUUCGUCGUGCUGGGGAUAGAUCCUUGCAAUUUUUGAUCUUAAACGAGGAAUGCCUAGUAAGCGCAAGUCAUCAACUUGCGUUGAUUACGUCCCUGCCCUUUGUACACACCGCCCGUCGCUACUACCGAUUGAAUGGUUUAGUGAGGCCUUCGGAUCCGCGACUCGUUUGUGGAGAAGUUGGACAAACUCAGUCAUUUAGAGGAAGUAAAGGUCGUAACA